This 392-nucleotide ribosomal RNA is filed under the name uncultured Nitrospina sp. RNAcentral's name for it is "bacterial SSU rRNA". It matches the Rfam family "Bacterial small subunit ribosomal RNA", at positions 29 to 410 of the family's 1533-position model. The record is from RNAcentral. Lineage: Bacteria; Pseudomonadati; Nitrospinota; Nitrospinia; Nitrospinales; Nitrospinaceae.
AACGAACGCUGGCGGUGUGCUUAACACAUGCAAGUCGAACGAGAAAGUUUCCUUCGGGGAACUAGUAAAGUGGCGCAAGGGUGAGUAACACGUGAAUAAUCUGCCCUCGAGAUCGGGAUAACUUGGCGAAAGCUAAGCUAAUACCGGAUAAGACCACAUUUCAUAAGAAAUGGGGGAAAAGGAGUCUCAAUCUUCACUCGAGGAUGAGUUCGCGGACCAUUAGCUUGUUGGUGAGAUAAAAGCUCACCAAGGCUACGAUGGAUAGCCGACCUGAGAGGGUGAACGGCCACACUGGAACUGAGACACGGUCCAGACUCCUACGGGUGGCAGCAGUGGGGAAGUAUUGCGCAAUGGGGGCGAAAGCCUGACGCAGCAACACCGUGUGAGCGAUG